AUAUCAAUAAGCGGAGGAAAAGAAACUAACAAGGAUUCCCCUAGUAACGGCGAGUGAAGUGGGAAAAGCUCAACUUUGAAAUCUGGUACUUUCAGUAUCCGAAUUGUAGUCUCAAGAAGUGUUUUCUGUGCUGGUCCAUGUAUGAGUCUGUUGGAACACAGCGUCAUAGAGGGUGACAACCCCGUUCAUGACAUGGAUACCAGUGCUUUGUGAUACACUCUCGAAGAGUCGAGUUGUUUGGGAAUGCAGCUCAAAUUGGGUGGUAAAUUCCAUCUAAAGCUAAAUAUUGGCGAGAGACCGAUAGCAAACAAGUACCGUGAGGGAAAGAUGAAAAGCACUUUGGAAAGAGAGUUAACAGUAC
RNAcentral lists this ribosomal RNA (361 nucleotides) under uncultured fungus. RNAcentral describes it as "eukaryotic LSU rRNA". It matches the Rfam family "Eukaryotic large subunit ribosomal RNA", at positions 40 to 398 of the family's 3401-position model. Lineage: Eukaryota; Fungi. The record is from RNAcentral.